UGGUGAUGCCUUUCGCAUGCGGCGUUGCUCUUCUUUCUCUCUCUUCACAGCCGGCGUUAGGUCUCUUCCACAGACGGUGAUGCUCAUCCUUAUCUUCAUACGCAGCGCUGACUUUUCACGCGCAGCGCUAGUUCUCUCUCUCUUCAGCUUCUUCAUCACAGACGACGCUAAGCUCUUAUACACGAGCAGCGAUGCCCCAAAUGGCGCUAAGCCUCUACUUCACAGACGACGCUGGGCCUCUGCUUCACAACCUUUGUUGUCGUGCGCGUCCCUUAACUGGGAGAAAAUUAGGGCAGGUAUAUCUUGAGGAUAAUUACUCUUUUCAACUGACACUUAUCUUGAACUUUGAAUAGUUUCACCUCGGGUUUAGCCAUAAUGUCGCAGGAGAAAAAUCAAGAAUUUGUUACUUUCGCCACUAUCACCUGACGGUCCACUUCUGUAGUAUAGUUGUGUCAUAUCUUCGUAUUCUUCCAACUGCUUACAAAUGGUAAAUCCAUAGAUCAUAAAAUUUGAAGGGAUGCCAGGUUCAAAUGAGAGAGAUCUUGUCCAUUAAAGGUUUAACCUGUUUCUAUUCGCAAUAGCAAUAACAGUGGACUGCAGAUGUAACCACUUUCAUUAUACGAAUCAAUCAAUGUCGCACCUUUUAUAUAAAGCACUGAGUCAGGAAUCCAACAGUCCUGGACUCAUGGGAAAAUUCAUCGCAUUGAAAGAGAAAUCUCCAUGUUAGUGACUGGGUGUUGAGCGGUACAUAAAGCUUUUAAGGCCUUAACUACCGGACGAUGCAUAUGGAAACUGAAUUCAUUCUCGGGUGGUUUAAACUGCCGGGUCAUGUGGAUGAUGGGUUAAGUCACCUUCGGAUGAUUUUAACUGCUGAGAUAUGUGGUUGAUGGGUUAAGCCACCCCCGUAUGACUUUAACCGCAGGGAUAUAUGGAUGAUGAGUUAAGCCACCUCCAAUUGAUAUGAAACUUCAGGUCCCUGAGAGUCUCGGCUUACUUUUAGAACAUGAAGUUCUGGGGUGUCAAUCAAGGCAUAUCUCUACUGACAGUGGAUACGGACAUGGGUUAAGCCAAGUCCAAAUGUUGUUCAAGUUAUAACACUCUUAGACUUUAUAACAUAUGAGGCCUUAACAUAAAUAUCUUUAGGAAUUUUACAUCAAUAUGAACAUAUGACGAGGUUCCCCUUAUGCUACGCUUAUUUAACCGACGAGUUACUCAAAAACUCCUCUAAUAUUCGGUGGAGAGGCAUGCAUAUGCCAUAGGAGUAUAUGUAUCCCUGAGUUUUGUGUUAUAGACCAUAAGUUAUGAUGCACAUGUGUAACUAACGAUAGAUUCAAGAAAAUAUGUAUAUCAAUACCGCAUCAGGUUCCUCCACAUAUCAUGUGGAUAGGCACAUCAGGCCUUAGGAAUAUAUGUAUCAUAGAGACUGACAAUGAGAUGGUUAUCAGAUCUUCGAUCAUCGAGCGUAAGUUAAACUUGAACAUGCUUAACUGACGAGCUAUCAUAACUUUACCGGUCGUAAGUCAGGGCAUAAAAGGGCCGGCUAACAAGUUCAAGACUCCGAAAGCAUAGUGGGGCCUCGUAUGAUGGAUCUUGAGUAUAUCAUACCUUUCAUAUCAUAGGACAUAUCUGAGCAGGCGUUAUCAAGAACCAUACUCAUAUUGUAUUGGCUGCAUGCUAAGACAAUUAUCCAGUGUGCAUUACCGACUUUGCUGCAUAUUUUAUAUCUUAAAUCAAUCAAGAGUUUGUUAGAAUGCACUUAUUCUUGUAUGAGGACUAAAAAACAUCUUCAAAGGCAAAGCCUAUUCAUUCAUUCAUCCAUCGUUGCUUAAAAUAACUUAUCCGGUAUGCGUUAUAAAACUCGUGCUUAUCCAGCAUCGGUUCAAAAUCUCACGCUUGCAUCAAGACUCCCAUAUAGUGUUGGUCAAAAUAAAUUUAGCCUCAUGUGAGGACUAAGAAUGCACUCAACCCACAACAUGUCUUCAUGAUUUUAGGCUUAUUUGGCAGGUGUUAGCAUCUCAAUCUUGAUCGAGCAUUCAUUGUAAUGUAUAUAGUCUUGUAUAAGACUAAAAUUACACCCAACAGACCCUAGGAGCCAUUUGUAAGUGGUUCCAUGUCUCGGGUGAUCUCCAGUUUGUAGCCCUUUUGUCAUCCCAAUGUCUGGCCGGCGUAUUACUAGGUCUCAGAGAAGAGCACUCGUUGGUGGACGAAAUACAGGUGAUAUUAUAACUAUUGCUAAUGAUGCCGAGGAACCUAAACCCCUUUCUGCUCGCUCGGACCGGGGCAAGGAAGUAAUGAGCAUGGACCUCUCCCUUUUCCUUUCCAAAUCAAGGGGUUGUCCCUCUUGAGCUUGGAUAUUCGGUAUAUGGAGAUCGGGGAGGACAUGUUGAAGGCCAUUUAUUGCUUUGUGGGUCACGCCUCUCUUCAAAAGCUAGGCAUACUUUCCUUCCACUUGGGAAAAACUAUAGAGGAGCAUGUUACUUUGGGUGUCCCUGGAGCUGAAUCGCUUCAUGAGGAAGUGGCCUGGCUUGAGAUAUUUUAGCGCUAAGGGAGUGAUCUUCGGAGGAGAAGACUCCCUCAAUUGCUCCCUUGCUUUGGUUUUUCUCUGACUAGUUGUCGAUUAUCUCUUUUGUGGAGAUGAGGCUUAGGUUUCGGCCUAACUUCAAGUUCCGCACUUAUGUUGUGUAUCCAGAGGUUGAUGAUGAGAUCUCGUCCAUUUCGAGGAAUAAUGGCAGGACCCAGUUGUUGUUGACCGAGCUUGAGAGGAAAUGAGGAAUCCUUCGUCCCCUUUGCUGGAAUCCGAUGAAUACCUGCCACUAGUGAGGUAUGCCAGUAUUUUGAGACUGAUGGAUCUUCAUAAUGGUCUGAGGAGGCAGCAGCGGGCAUAUUCCGAAAUGAGUGCCUAAGGAUCCCAUAG
RNAcentral lists this long non-coding RNA (2914 nucleotides) under Amborella trichopoda. RNAcentral's name for it is "long non-coding RNA (ATRI_LNC005002)". The record is from RNAcentral. Lineage: Eukaryota; Viridiplantae; Streptophyta; Magnoliopsida; Amborellales; Amborellaceae.